This 274-nucleotide ribosomal RNA is filed under the name uncultured bacterium. Its description in RNAcentral is "partial 16S ribosomal RNA". It matches the Rfam family "Bacterial small subunit ribosomal RNA", at positions 523 to 796 of the family's 1533-position model. The record is from RNAcentral.
AUACGGAGGGUCCAAGCGUUAUCCGGAAUCAUUGGGUUUAAAGGGUUCGUAGGCGGGUCAAUAAGUCAGAGGUGAAAUCUUGCAGCUUAACUGUAAAAUUGCCUUUGAAACUGUUGACCUUGAAUUACUGUGAAGUAGUUAGAAUAUGUAGUGUAGCGGUGAAAUGCUUAGAGAUUACAUAGAAUACCGAUUGCGAAGGCAGAUCACUAACAGUAUAUUGACGCUGAUGAACGAAAGCGUGGGUAGCGAACGGGAUUAGAAACCCUAGUAGUCC